GGAACAAGAGCUUAAAUAUAUAUAUAAAUAACAUGGGAUACUAGUAUGGUUAUAAUAAGCAAUUUUUAACGAACAUCACUACAAGGUAAAAAGAACCUUACAGGUUAAGCGUACUAACCAAAGCAUGAGUGGUAUGCGAGAAACUAAAUAUUUGCCAGUGUCAUAUUCCAUGAAUAAACUGUGUUUUACAAGAGAAGUGGCAAGAAGAACUGGGAAAAUAAUAGCAACAUGCAAGGCACCAAUGUUCUUUAAAAAGCUACAUAAUGAAAAAAAUCUUUGCGAGCACCAUGAAAGACCGGGCAUUUACAAGACAUCUGUCAAAUACAAGAAGACAUAGCAGCAGAUGUCAUAUAUAGGCUUAACUACCAGAACAUUAACCCAGAGAUUAGAUAAACAUCAAAAAGAUAUUGCUGCUGAAAAAUUAACCACUGCCGUAGCAGUGGAAACAUAUAACAGCAACAUGGAAAUAAAAUAGGAACAAGCUAGGAUAAUUAAGCCAGUCACUAUAAAAUCCCAAACCAUAAUUGAAAAGAUGGAGAUAGUAAGGAGGCAAGAACGAGAAAGGC
Molecule: long non-coding RNA, 566 nt
Filed under: Androctonus crassicauda
Lineage: Eukaryota; Metazoa; Arthropoda; Arachnida; Scorpiones; Buthidae
Source: RNAcentral